Molecule: long non-coding RNA, 4251 nt
Organism: Bos taurus (domestic cattle)
Lineage: Eukaryota; Metazoa; Chordata; Mammalia; Artiodactyla; Bovidae
Source: Ensembl
GACCUCAUGAGAGAGGAAGAGAAGAGCCUGCUCACUCUGGAGGUUCAAAAAGAUGAAUGAGGGAAAAUCACCCCAAACAAUGUGAAGUUCAAUGCUCUUAUGAUUAUUUAGGAAAGCUAUUACAGUAUGCUUUAAAUAUGCACUGUUCAUUGUAUGCACAUCUCAAAGCAUUUGAACUGUAAGAGGUGAGCUAUUGUAAGUCCCCUGACCUUUGGAGUUUAUCUAUCUGGUCUCAUCUCUUUUCAGAAACAGGGUGAAAGGAGCUAUAUCUGAAGGCUGAGACUCCUGGUGAUGGGUUGGAGGUCAAACAGCCAGCUGGUGGCUGGGCCGCCGAUUCCAGCCCCUGUGAAGUUUCCACAAAUAUUUAUGAGCCUUUCGAUGGCCGGAUGGUGGGGAAAAUGUUGAGAAAAGUUACAGGGAGUGUUUGCAUUUAGAAUUUGCCAGCAACUCGCUGUGUAACUGAGGUGGCUUCUCUUUGGGCCUCCGUUUCCUCAUCUGUAAUAUGGGGCCAGAAAAAGCAGCCUCCAAGACCUCUUUUUGCUCCAAGAACACAGUGAAGAUUUGUGAAUAGUUUUUCUAAUUUCUAAAGCAAUGUAGGGACUUCCCUGGAGGUCCAGUGGUUGGGACUCUGCACGUCCACUGCAGGGGGCAUGGGAUCAACCCCUGGUGGGGGAAUGAAGAUUUCAUAUGUUUUGUAGCUCUGCCAAAAAAAUAAAAAUAGCAAUAUCUCAAUUUAAAAAAGAGGCAGUGUAGCCUCUCCUCACCUAAGUAUUAUUAAAAAAAAAAAAAAAAACCCAUCUGUUUCUAAGUGGCACUUUUUCCCCAAAAUGUAACUUUGAUUCUGCUCUGUCUGAAAUCAGCUUCCUACCUCUUAUGUAGGACCUCAAAGUUAUGAAAUUUCUAAUUCCAAUGUCUUGGCUAUUCAGGUGUUAGAGAAUUAUACAAUAUUUCUAUGACUCAAAUCAGGCUUUUGGCUUUAAGACUAAAAGAUCUGAGUAUCUGGGUUUUUUUUUUUUUUUUUUUUUUAAAGAAAAAUGACGGAUAUCAGCCCUUAGAAAAAUCAGCUCACUUGGAGACCUCCAUGGCGUUAUUGCCUCCUUUAAUAUUGCUGACAGUCUCUUGCAAAUGUAUCACAAGUUGGCAUUUAUUAGUGCGAGGCACAAGUAAGGGGCAUGUUAUUUGAUUUGAAUAACAGCUUGGAGCUACAGUUUGAGUCCAGAAAUAUAUUAGUCAGAAACAAUCUCAUUUAAUAACACAGAAACUAAUAAAAGAAAAGUAUUCCAACUGAUUCAGAAUUGAAUUUAUGAAUAUUGCUUUAGCAGGAUUAAUGAUCAAAACCCCAACCUGUUUGUCACGUUAUAACUGACUUUUCCAUUUAAAUGCAAAACCAGAAGUCAAUGAGUCCGAAGGAUUGUAUAUUGCUUUGAAGAAAACCAGUUCAUUUUACAUGUAAGCUUCCAAAUUGGCAAUAAACUUUAAUUACAGGGUCAGAUAAUCAAAUUAUAAUCAAAUAGCCUCACAUAAAAAUCUAUGUUUGAAAUUAAUGAGAUACAAGGCUGCCACUCGGUACCAAUACACCUCUGUAGCUUACUAGCAGACAUUUCAUUUUCAUUUAAAAGUCACCUUAAGGACUUUCUCCUCAAUUUUCACCGUGUAGCUUAAUUUGAUUUAGAAAACAUUUCAUUCUUAGACCAUACAGUCCUUUGGAUUUUCAGACUCAUCUCUGCCUUUCCCUCCUCCUCUCAACCUCGGGGGAGGUCUGUUUUAUAACUGACAAUGGAAUUUCCAAAUGGGCGCUGUUGGGAAAAUUUCCAGCUGCGGGGUGAGUACGUGUCUAUCUGUGUUGAGAAGAACCUUGCCCCCGUGUCAGGUGUCAUCUGGCGGAGGCAGCAUCCAAGCCAUGGGAUACCGUCACCUGGGAAAUUUUGCCCGAGAAGGGAAAACAUGCACUUGCCUUAGAAAUGCUUCAACUGUUUUGAAAUCAACCAAUCCAUUGGCAAGCGAAUGGCAUUAACACUUACACGUGCCUCCUUAUCUCAUUAACUUACAAACAAGAAUGUGGAGUUGUAUUUUAAAACCUCUGUAUUUUAUUUUUAAAAACCAGCAAUGUCUUUGUCUUCAUCAGUAAUAUUUCUUUUGGGUCAGAAUGAUGAAGAGCCAGCUUCUGGGGCUUCCUCUUACUGGCAGGUAGGAGACCAGAGAGAGAGAUGCCGAGGGACAGCUUUCUAUCACUGACAUGCUUUCGCUUUCUAAAAAUUAGACUUUUGAGUCUUUCCAUAUUAUGCAAUAAAUGAGGUGCACAGCACCUGACCAGGUUGCCAGCUUUAAAGAAAAAAAAUAUAUAUCAAUUUUUAGCAUAAGUAUAUCCCAAUUAUUGCUUGGGAUAUACUUCUAAAAAUAUUCAUUCAUGAAAUUCAAAUUUAACUGGACAUCUCGUGUUUUUGAGAAUGCUUGGGAUCCUAAUCUGUAAUAAUAAUGAUAGUAAAGUUUGGUAUCUUCUAUAACAUUAAAAGGGUUUCAUGGGGACUCCCUGAAUAUUUUGCAAACUUGCCUGAUUACCCAAUCACAUGGAUCAGCUGGGAGUUUUCUAAAACUACAGUUGCCCAGGGCCGUCCUAGCAAUGCCGAUUCACUAGGUCCAGGGUUUGGCCUGGGAGUCUGUAUUUUGACAAGUUUCCCAGGUAAUUCUUGGCAUCAGACAAGUUUGGAAGAACACUGCAAAUACCUCUUUGUCACGACAUCCCUGAGAAGGAGGUGGUGAUGGAGUAGGGCAGAUCUUUUCACCAUUGCUUGAUUUGGCUCCGCCCUCUAUGAACCCAACGACUCAAGGGAUAAUAAGGAAUAUGUUUCACUUGUAAAGAAGAUGGUCUACAAGUCCUCCCGAAGCUACUGACCCUGCAGAUUACACCUCAUGUGAUCCCGAUGGGUGCCAGGAUUUUUCUAAAGACCUGAUGAAUGUAGUUGCCUCUUACUCUGUUCUGAGGAAUCCAGAGGAACCCAACUCAACUGAAUGAGAUGUGCAGGAGAAGGCAAAGCAUCCAUGGGAACAAACAGGACAGGAUAUGGAAGAAGGAAAAGCAAAGUUGGGAUGAUAAUGAUCAUGGCAAGUGGUGGCAUUUGGGCAAUGAAGAUGAGUAAAUUAUUCUUUCUUCCUAAUCUGAGCCUGUGGUGAUGUUCUAUUGACUACAUAUGCACCAGACCUGAAACAUGGCCUGUGGCAUGUCUUCCAGAGACAUCCGAGUCUAAAUCACUCAGGAGGAAAAAACGAAUUACACUUCUGCUGGGAAAAAGUAUUGAACAGGACAAAAAUCUUACUGACCUUUAAGGAACUUUCAGCUUCCAUUUUGUCCUGAGUCAAAGGACUUUAUGUUCUCUGUAUAUGGAGGUUGUUCCAAGCUCUACAACCACUGGCGACCUGGGACUUUCUCCUUUCCUCUUUUUGACCUAUGUGGAAACGUUCCAGCCAACAAGAGGAAGUAUCAAAAGUUCUUAUGGGGCUUUUGGCAGGGAGAGCCCUGGAAUCUGCCAAGAAGGCUGGUUAUGUGGGCAGAAGCAGCGGUCCAGGGAGAAGACUUGACAGCACCGCGCCCGGUUCAUCUCUCUAUCCAGAAGCACCACAAUAGGAUGGAAAUAAAAUGGAACUGUUAGUCUUCUGGAGAUCUGGAAGAAAUCUGUUCUCUACCCAUGAUUGACUAAUAAUGUUUAAUCCAAAGGAAAGAAUCUCUAACAGUGGAAUUUCAUUUAUCUGUGGGAGGGGCUGUAUUGAGGGACAGGGCACGAGGGAACACUGUUAGCUACUCCACUGUGGAGUGUGUAGAGCCAGUCCUGGGAGGGAAUGGCUUGUUCAUUAUCUUCCCCAACUGUUUUGCACUGUAUGUGUCAAAUCCCAUAGUAAAUACUGAGAAUUAUUUUAAAGGAUCUCUCAGGAGUUUGGCAGCCUCUCUCCUCCAAUUCAACAGUUUCAAAAUCCCUGUUACUACCACCACCCUCAUCAGCUUGUGCUUAUUAAAGGUCCACUUGGACGCACAGCCCCACCUGUUUCCCACUGAGAUGGGUUCUUGACUUAAUUUUGGGGGUGAGUUCUCCUGCUUUGUUCAUUUGGAUUAGAAACCCCGUGACGUUCGACCUAGUUUACGUUUUUCCUUUUCUCUUUUGAAACAAUAAAAAUGUUCCGUGGGGAUUCUGGACUACAUUAAAGGGUCAUUUUCAAUUUUCAUGCGAGACAUAUGGAAAGACUCACCUCCACUUACAG